GAUGAACGCUGGCGGCGUGCCUAAUACAUGCAAGUCGAGCGAACAGACGAGGAGCUUGCUCCUCUGACGUUAGCGGCGGACGGGUGAGUAACACGUGGAUAACCUACCUAUAAGACUGGGAUAACUUCGGGAAACCGGAGCUAAUACCGGAUAAUAUAUUGAACCGCAUGGUUCAAUAGUGAAAGACGGUUUUGCUGUCACUUAUAGAUGGAUCCGCGCCGCAUUAGCUAGUUGGUAAGGUAACGGCUUACCAAGGCAACGAUGCGUAGCCGAACUGAGAGGGUGAUCGGCCACACUGGAACUGAGACACGGACCAGACUCCUACGGGAGGCAGCAGUAGGGAAUCUUCCGCAAUGGGCGAAAGCCUGACGGAGCAACGCCGCGUGAGUGAUGAAGGUCUUCGGAUCGUAAAACUCUGUUAUUAGGGAAGAACAAAUGUGUAAGUAACUAUGCACGUCUUGACGGUACCUAAUCAGAAAGCCACGGCUAACUACGUG
This 497-nucleotide ribosomal RNA is filed under the name uncultured bacterium. RNAcentral describes it as "partial 16S ribosomal RNA". It matches the Rfam family "Bacterial small subunit ribosomal RNA", at positions 28 to 507 of the family's 1533-position model. The record is from RNAcentral.